AUUGAACGCUGGCGGCAGGCCUAACACAUGCAAGUCGAACGAGUGGCGGACGGGUGAGUAAUGUCUGGGAAUCUGCCUGGUGGAGGGGGAUAACUACUGGAAACGGUAGCUAAUACCGCAUACCAUCGGAUGUGCCCAAAUGGGAUUAGCUAGGAGGUGGGGUAAAGGCUCACCUAGGCGACGAUCCCUAGCUGGUCUGAGAGGAUGACCAGCCACACCGGAACUGAGAGACGGUCCCGACUCAUACGGGAGGCAGCAGUGGGGAAUAUUGCACAAUGGGCGCAAGCCUGAUUCAGCCAUGCCGCGUGUAUGAAGAAGGCCUUCGGGUUGUAAAGUACUUUCAUCGGGGAGGCGUUACCCGCAGAAUAAGCACCGGCUAACUCCGUGCCAGCAGCCGCGGUAAUUC
Molecule: ribosomal RNA, 406 nt
Filed under: uncultured bacterium
Lineage: Bacteria
Description: partial 16S ribosomal RNA
Rfam family: Bacterial small subunit ribosomal RNA
Source: RNAcentral